Molecule: ribosomal RNA, 424 nt
Filed under: uncultured beta proteobacterium
Lineage: Bacteria; Pseudomonadati; Pseudomonadota; Betaproteobacteria
Description: bacterial SSU rRNA
Rfam family: Bacterial small subunit ribosomal RNA
Source: RNAcentral
CAAGACCUUGCGCUUUAGGAGUGGCCGAUAUCGGAUUAGCUAGUUGGUGAGGUAAAGGCUCACCAAGGCGACGAUCCGUAGCGGGUCUGAGAGGAUGAUCCGCCACACUGGGACUGAGACACGGCCCAGACUCCUACGGGAGGCAGCAGUGGGGAAUUUUGGACAAUGGGCGCAAGCCUGAUCCAGCCAUGCCGCGUGAGUGAAGAAGGCCUUCGGGUUGUAAAGCUCUUUCAGCCGGAAAGAAAUCGUGCAGAUUAAUAUUCUGCAUGGAUGACGGUACCGGAAGAAGAAGCACCGGCUAACUACGUGCCAGCAGCCGCGGUAAUACGUAGGGUGCGAGCGUUAAUCGGAAUUACUGGGCGUAAAGCGUGCGCAGGCGGUUUUGUAAGACAGACGUGAAAUCCCCGGGCUUAACCUGGGAACU